GUUAUUUGAUUCCUCUUUUCGAACACCGCAGGGGUCACGGUGGCUUUCUGAUGAGGUCAUUGAUGCAUACCUGCACUGUGUUAUUGAGAGACGAAAGAAUGCUGUACACCUGCUCUGUUCAGUGGUUGCAAGCUUGUUGUUUUCUGGGCAGUUCAGAUGCCUCAACAAGGUAUGUUGAAAGUUCAGAAGUGGUCCAAACAGUUCACUCCUUUCUGUUGCUGAGGAAAGAGUUUGGUUCCUUUAAAGAAGACUAUAUUUGGAAACACCCUAAGACGCAUGGUACCUAAGUAAAUCCAAAUUACUCUACACUUCCAAUCCCACAGAUGAAGUUCCCAGUUGAAGACAUGUGGCUGUGCUCUGUGAAUUUUGGUACACACUGGAUUCUUGUAGUAUGUGUUCAUUUUGUUAUUAAAUUGCGUAAUUUGUUGUGAAGCAGUUUCUUGCACAAAGUUUUAUUUUUAAAUAAUUUUUCAGUGGCACAAACUAUUGUAAUUUUUAAUUUAUUAACUUUUUCUUUAGAUUGUCAACAUUUCUGCACAGAAAAUACUACUCAUAGACCCCAUGGGGAAUGAAGGUGUUUAUGACAGGAAAAUUCUGCGCAACUGGAGGUAUGUAUGAUACUGAGGUAUUAUUCUUAGAUAAAAAAAAUUCUUGUUUCAUUACAAACAUUUUUGUUCAACUAGGAAUUUUCUGAGGAUGAGAGGGCAUGAAGACAUUAUGGAGUGGCAGUUACAGACUAUGCAACACAACAAGCAACAGGAUUCCAGCAGUUGCGGAGUUUUACUGUUAAAGGUAACCCUUAUUCAAAUGAUUCCAUUUAUUGUUAGCUAGAAUUAAGACUUUAAGUGAAUUUAAGUGAAGUGAAAUUUAUUUCGUUCAACAACAACAACAACAACACAGAUUAUCAUUUUACAUGGAAGUACUUAAUCAUACAGUAACUGAAAAAGGUAUAGGCUGAAGCCUUGUGGCUAAUAAUUAUCCUAUCCUUUACUUAAUUAAGACUUUAAAUUCUAAUUAAUCAAUCUCACAGUUUGCAGAACACUACCUUGAUUUUGGAGAGGUCAGUGAGGUGUUAACCACUACAGAGGCAGUUGUGCUGGAACGAAUGCAGAUAGCUUGUACCCUACUUGAAAAUCGAGGUAAGUUCAGUAAAGUUCUUAUCACGUUAGAGUGUGUACUUCCAAUUUAAAUAGUGCUUUUCAAACAGCACAGUACAAAUAGUGCUCUUCAAACACUUUCAGAUAAGACCCUUCUCAAAGUCUAAUUAAAAAAAUUCAGGAGACUAAUUUUCCAUGAAGUAUAUUUGGAAAAAAUGUACUAUUAUUUUUAAAUUAUUCAAUAAAUUUUGAAUGUGCAAAAUAUAAAGAGUGCAACCAAGAAUAUAAAUGCCAAAAAUGUAAGGAAAACACAUAACAACUUCAAAUAAAAACAGCUGUCUUUUUCCCUCCAUGUGUGUUGGUAUUCUUUGUCAACAUUAGAUGAUUGUGUGCUGGAAGCAUGUUUUAAUAGUGUGAUUUGGCCAUCUGAACGUCCUACCUAUACGACGGAGCCAUUAACCACGUAAGGUAGCAUAUUCUGAUAAGGUAGCACGGAUUGAUAGACAAGACCAUAAAUUUACGCUACGGUAGGAUGUUUUGACAAGGUAGGACGUUUUGUCAGAACCCGGCAGCCUUGCCUCUGUCAGUGCGCCCCAGGGUGGCUGUGGCUACAAUGUAGCUUGCCAUCACCAGUGUGUGGAUGACUGGAUGUAUAAAGUGCUUUGGGGUCCUUAGGGACUAGUAAAGCGCUAUACAAAUAAAGGCCAUUUACCAUUUACCAUUUGUCCUUUUUACGAAUUUUUCAUUUUACCGGUAUGUUUGUAAUGUUUAUAGAUUUUUAACUGCCAUGUCACAACGCCUCGGGUAUAGGUGAUGUAGGGAUCUUUUCCAGUAGAAGAGUUGUAUGAUCCGCAAAACGCUCCUUUUUGAUUUGGCAGAUGCUGCUGACACCACUCCUCUCUCCUUUUCAUGAGGAGUCAGGAAAUGAAAAG
Molecule: long non-coding RNA, 2029 nt
Filed under: Oreochromis niloticus (Nile tilapia)
Lineage: Eukaryota; Metazoa; Chordata; Actinopteri; Cichliformes; Cichlidae
Description: lncRNA (ENSONIG00000030867.1)
Source: RNAcentral